RNAcentral lists this ribosomal RNA (497 nucleotides) under uncultured bacterium. Its description in RNAcentral is "partial 16S ribosomal RNA". It matches the Rfam family "Bacterial small subunit ribosomal RNA", at positions 28 to 507 of the family's 1533-position model. The record is from RNAcentral.
GAUGAACGCUGGCGGCGUGCCUAAUACAUGCAAGUCGAGCGAACGGACGAGAAGCUUGCUUUUCUGAUAUUAGCGGCGGACGGGUGAGUAACACGUGGAUAACCUACCUAUAAGACUGGGAUAACUUCGGGAAACCGGAGCUAAUACCGGAUAAUAUUUUGAACCGCAUGGUUCAAAAGUGAAAGACGGUCUUGCUGUCACUUAUAGAUGGAUCCGCGCUGCAUUGGCUAGUUGGUAAGGUAACGGCUUACCAAGGCAACGAUGCAUAGCCGACCUGAGAGGGUGAUCGGCCACACUGGAACUGAGACACGGUCCAGACUCCUACGGGAGGCAGCAGUAGGGAAUCUUCCGCAAUGGGCGAAAGCCUGACGGAGCAACGCCGCGUGAGUGAUGAAGGUCUUCGGAUCGUAAAACUCUGUUAUUAGGGAAGAACAUAUGUGUAAGUAACUGUGCACAUCUUGACGGUACCUAAUCAGAAAGCCACGGCUAACUACGUG